GUCGAACGGCAGCACGGCAGUAGCAAUACUGUGGGUGGCGAGUGGCGGACGGGUGAGGAAUACAUCGGGAUCUACCCUGUUGUGGGGGAUAACGUAGGGAAACUUACGCUAAUACCGCAUAAGAACUGAGGUUGAAAGCGGCGGACCGCAAGGCGUCGCGCGAUUGGAUGAACCGAUGUCCGAUUAGCUAGUUGGCGGGGUAAAGGCCCACCAAGGCGACGAUCGGUAGCUGGUCUGAGAGGACGACCAGCCACACUGGAACUGAGACACGGUCCAGACUCCUACGGGAGGCAGCAGUGGGGAAUAUUGGACAAUGGGCGCAAGCCUGAUCCAGCCAUGCCGCGUGGGUGAAGAAGGCCUUCGGGUUGUAAAGCCCUUUUGUCCGGAAAGAAAAGCUCGUGGUUAAUACCCGCGGGUUCUGACGGUACCGGAAGAAUAAGCACCGGCUAACUUCGUGCCAGCAGCCGCGGUAAUACGAAGGGUGCAAGCGUUACUCGGAAUUACUGGGCGUAAAGCGUGCGUAGGUGGUGCGUUAAGUCUGUCGUGAAAUCCCCGGGCUCAACCUGGGAAUGGCGAUGGAUACUGGCGCGCUAGAGUGCGGUAGAGGAGAGUGGAAUUCCCGGUGUAGCAGUGAAAUGCGUAGAGAUCGGGAGGAACAUCAGUUGCGAAGGCGGCUCUCUGGACCAGCACUGACACUGAG
RNAcentral lists this ribosomal RNA (700 nucleotides) under uncultured Gammaproteobacteria bacterium. Its description in RNAcentral is "bacterial SSU rRNA". It matches the Rfam family "Bacterial small subunit ribosomal RNA", at positions 61 to 750 of the family's 1533-position model. The record is from RNAcentral. Lineage: Bacteria; Pseudomonadati; Pseudomonadota; Gammaproteobacteria.